RNAcentral lists this ribosomal RNA (918 nucleotides) under Triticum aestivum (bread wheat). Its description in RNAcentral is "partial small subunit ribosomal RNA". The record is from RNAcentral. Lineage: Eukaryota; Viridiplantae; Streptophyta; Magnoliopsida; Poales; Poaceae.
UCUUUGUGUGCAGUAAAGAAAGGCUCUGUUCUCUUAACAAGGAUAGAAACUAUAACGACAUACAAAAACCAACGUGGACAACCCAGAUCUUGAACUCCAGAACAAUCUGACACUCCAGUGUCUGCUAAUGACAUGUGUUCCCUUGCUGAAUGGCCAGCCCAUGUUCGCCGCAACCGUGCGCUACUACAGGAUGAAGCUAGUGGACAGAAGAAGAAAGGGCGAGGUGUUCAAAAAGGUUUUAAAGCAUCUAAGAAGCGUUUUGCCAAUGGAUCUGCAAAGCUAAAUAUUACAUUCUCUGAAAAAUUGGGUGGUACAGUAGGAAUGAACUAUCGUUCGUUCAAGGAUGACGUGGUAGUCAUAAUGAAAAGAAAGUUACCACUCAUUGGAGUGAGGACGUGGUCGGACAUUCACCCUACCAUUCAUCGACUCAUUGUUGCAGACAUGAUAGACAGAUGGGACUUGGAAGAUACACCAGAAACAGAAGAAAAAGUUCUCAAAAUUGCGAAAGAGAGAUAUAGAGGUUGGCGAUCAACUCUAAGCUCCACUUACAAGGCAUACAAAACAGAUGCAGCUAGAUUGGCUAAUCUGCCGGAAGAUUUGCAACUAGAAGAGUGGGAAUGGAUGAUUGAGUACUUUGGCACUGAUUCAAAAUUUCAGGAUCGCAGCCAAAAGAACACCGAUAACCGUAAGAAACAGAAGACAAAACACAUCAUCGGAUCAAAAUCUUACUCGCAAGUUAGUUUUGAGAAGAGAAACUUGGAAACUGGAGAAGAGCCAGAUUGUAUUGCUCUGUGGGAACUCACCCACACGAACGAUGGAACAUGGUCUAACACAGAUUCCCAGAAUGUUUACGACAAAGCACUUCAAGAGGUUAAAAUCAAAGAAACUGAAACUGAAGGUCCACUUUCAAGUGAGUAG